RNAcentral lists this ribosomal RNA (1485 nucleotides) under uncultured rumen bacterium. Its description in RNAcentral is "bacterial SSU rRNA". It matches the Rfam family "Bacterial small subunit ribosomal RNA". The record is from RNAcentral.
AGAGUUUGAUCCUGGCUCAGGACGAACGCUGGCGGUAUGCCUAACACAUGCAAGUCGAACGAGUACUUGAGAGCUUGCUCUUUUGUGCUAGUGGCGGACGGGUGAGUAACGCGUGAGUAAUCUGCCUUAAAGUGGGGGAUAACAUUUGGAAACAAAUGCUAAUACCGCGUAAGAUAUUUUCUUCGCAUGAAGUUUGUAUCAUAGUUUUUUCGCUUUAAGAUGAGCUCGCGUCCGAUUAGUUUGUUGGCGAGGUAAAUGCUCACCAAGACUGCGAUCGGUAGCCGGGUUGAGAGACUGAACGGCCACAUUGGAACUGAGACACGGUCCAGACUCCUACGGGAGGCAGCAGUGGGGAAUAUUGCACAAUGGGGGAAACCUUGAUGCAGCAAUACCGCGUGAGGGAUGAAGGCUCUAGGGUUGUAAACCUCUGUCCAAAGGGACGAAUUUUGACGGUACCUUUGAAGGAAGCCCCGGCUAACUACGUGCCAGCAGCCGCGGUAAUACGUAGGGAGCUAGCGUUGUCCGGAUUUACUGGGUGUAAAGGGUGCGUAGGUGGUUUUGUGGGUCAGACGUGAAAUUUGCAGGCUUAACUUGUAAACUGCGUUUGAAACUAUAAAACUUGAGUGAAGUAGGGGCAGAUGGAAUUUCCGGUGUAGCGGUGAAAUGCGUAGAGAUCGGGAGGAACACCAGUGGCGAAGGCGAUCUGCUGGGCUUUUACUGACACUGAGGCACGAAAGCGUGGGUAGCAAACAGGAUUAGAUACCCUGGUAGUCCAUGCCGUAAACGAUGAUUACUAGGUGUAGGAGGUCUGACCCCUCCUGUGCCGCAGUUAACACAUUAAGUAAUCCACCUGGGAAGUACGACCGCAAGGUUAAAACUCAAAGGAAUUGACGGGGACCCGCACAAGCAGUGGAGUAUGUGGUUUAAUUCGAAGAUACGCGAAAAACCUUACCAAGUCUUGACAUCCUAAGAAUUCUUUAGAAAUAUUGAAGUGCCCUUUCGGGGGAGCUUAGUGACAGGUGGUGCAUGGUUGUCGUCAGCUCGUGUCGUGAGAUGUUGGGUUAAGUCCCGCAACGAGCGCAACCCUUACAAUUAGUUGCUAACAGUUUGGCUGAGCUCUCUGGUUGGACUGCCGUUGAUAAAACGGAGGAAGGUGGGGAUGACGUCAAAUCAUCAUGCCCUUUAUGACUUGGGCUACACACGUACUACAAUGGCUAUUAACAAUGGGUUUUGCAAUCUCGCGAGAGUGAGCUAAUCCCCAAAAAUGGCCCCAGUUCAGAUUGUAGGCUGAAACUCGCCUAUAUGAAGACGGAAUUGCUAGUAAUCGCAAAUCAGCAUGUUGCGGUGAAUACGUUCCCGGGUCUUGUACACACCGCCCGUCACACCAUGGGAGCCGGUAAUACCCGAAGUCAGUGCCCUAACCCUCUGGGAGGGAGCUGCCGAAGGUAGGAUUGGUGACUGGGGUGAAGUCGUAACAAGGUAACC